AUUGAACGCUGGCGGCAUGCUUUACACAUGCAAGUCGAACGGUAACAGGCCGCAAGGUGCUGACGAGUGGCGAACGGGUGAGUAAUGCAUCGGAACGUGCCCAGUCGUGGGGGAUAACUACUCGAAAGAGUAGCUAAUACCGCAUACGAUCUAUGGAUGAAAGCGGGGGACCGUAAGGCCUCGCGCGAUUGGAGCGGCCGAUGUCAGAUUAGGUAGUUGGUGGGGUAAAGGCUCACCAAGCCAACGAUCUGUAGCUGGUCUGAGAGGACGACCAGCCACGCUGGGACUGAGACACGGCCCAGACUCCUACGGGAGGCAGCAGUGGGGAAUUUUGGACAAUGGGCGCAAGCCUGAUCCAGCAAUGCCGCGUGCAGGAAGAAGGCCUUCGGGUUGUGAACUGCUUUUGUACGGAACGAAACGGCUCUGGUUAAUACCCGGGGCUAAUGACGGUACCGUAAGAAUAAGCACCGGCUAACUACGUG
RNAcentral lists this ribosomal RNA (482 nucleotides) under uncultured bacterium. RNAcentral describes it as "partial 16S ribosomal RNA". It matches the Rfam family "Bacterial small subunit ribosomal RNA", at positions 30 to 507 of the family's 1533-position model. The record is from RNAcentral.